Molecule: ribosomal RNA, 497 nt
Filed under: uncultured bacterium
Lineage: Bacteria
Description: partial 16S ribosomal RNA
Rfam family: Bacterial small subunit ribosomal RNA
Source: RNAcentral
AAUGAACGCUGGCGGCGUGCCUAACACAUGCAAGUCGAACGAACGGACCGGAAGCUUUUGCCCCUGAGGUUGGCGGGCGACGGAAGAGUAACACAUGGAUAGCAUACCUCUACGACAGGGGUAAUAACGUGGGACAGGAUCUACUAACGGAUAAUAUUUUGAACCGGAUGGAGCAAGGGUUAAAGACGGUCUUGGUGUCAGUAAAAGCUGAUUCCGGGCUUGAUCAGCUGGUGGGUAAGGAAACGGCCUACCAAGGCUACGAUGCAUAGACGGCCGGAGAGGGUGAUUGGCCACACUGGAACUGAGACACGGUCCAGACUCCUACGGGAGGACGCAGUCGCGACUCUUCCGCAAUGGGCGAAAGCCUGAUGUAGCAACGCCGCGUGAGUGAUGAAGGACUUCGGCUGGUAAAGCUCUGUUGUUAGGAAAGAACAUAAGCUUAUGUAACCGUGCUGAUAUUGACGGUACCGAAAGAAUAAGCCCCGGCUAACUCCGUG